Molecule: ribosomal RNA, 953 nt
Filed under: uncultured Verrucomicrobiota bacterium
Lineage: Bacteria; Pseudomonadati; Verrucomicrobiota
Description: bacterial SSU rRNA
Rfam family: Bacterial small subunit ribosomal RNA
Source: RNAcentral
AGGGUUUGAUCAUGGCUCAGAACGAACGCUGGCGGCGUGGAUAAGACAUGCAAGUUGAACGCGACAUUUACUGUAGCAAUACAGCGGAUGUUGAGUAGCGCAAGGGUGCGUAACACGUGGGUAAUUUGCCGUGAAGUUGGGGAUAACUCGCUGAAAGGCGAGCUAAUACCGGAUGUGGUUAUUGGAAGGCAUCUUCUGAUAACUAAAGGUGGGGACCGCAAGGCCUGCCGCUUCACGAUAAGCCCGCGGCCUAUCAGCUAGUUGGUGAGGUAACGGCUCACCAAGGCUAAGACGGGUAGCUGGUCUGAGAGGACGACCAGCCACACUGGAACUGAGACACGGUCCAGACACCUACGGGUGGCAGCAGUCGAGAAUUUUUCUCAAUGGGCGAAAGCCUGAAGGAGCGACGCCGCGUGGGGGAUGAAGGGUUUCGAUCCGUAAACCCCUGUCAUUUGUGAACAAUGGUUAUUAUUUAAAAGAUGAUGACUUGAUAGUAAUGAAAGAGGAAGGGACGGCUAACUCUGUGCCAGCAGCCGCGGUAAUACAGAGGUCCCGAGCGUUGUUCGGAUUCACUGGGCGUAAAGGGUGCGUAGGUGGCGAUGGAAGUUUGAUGUGAAAUCUCCGGGCUCAACCCGGAAAUGGCAUUGAAUACUCUAGCGCUUGAGGUUUGGAGGGGGGACUGGAAUUCUCGGUGUAGCAGUGAAAUGCGUAGAUAUCGAGAGGAACACCAGUGGCGAAGGCGGGUCCCUGGACAACACCUGACACUGAGGCACGAAAGCUAGGGGAGCAAACAGGAUUAGAUACCCUGGUAGUCCUAGCCCUAAACGGUGCAUGUUUGCUGUAGGAGGAAUCGACCCCUUCUGUGGCGAAGCUAACGCGAUAAACAUGCCGCCUGGGGAGUACGGUCGCAAGAUUAAAACUCAAGAAAUUGACGGGGGCCUGCACAAGCGGUG